UUGGACAUAUUUUUUGGUCGGUCGAGAGAUUUCUCUCGUUUCUUCGGUAUUGUCAACAUUGAUUUUUUUUUGUUCUCUCCCAACUGCGAAACGGCGAUUUUCUUCCCUUCUCCUCGUGCCGAUCUCAUCUCCGUUGUCUCCUCGUCGAAGCCCAGUGAUUGUUUGAUCGAUCGGCCGGUGCCUGAUUGCGUUUUGACUCCCGAAAUCUCCGAUCGUCAUCUUCGUCUCUACUUCUAGAAGUAGGAACCCUAAUCUCCUGAGAUAUUCUUACUGUUCAUUAGUAGCAGAGACGAAGAAUUAGAUUACGGUAUUGAAGAGCGAAGUAGAAAUCGAAAGACGAUGGCAGGGAGAGAAGUUCGAGAAUACACAAAUCUGUCUGACCCUAAAGAUAAGAAAUUAGGGAAGGGUAAGACUGAUGAUGAAGACGUCACAUUCCAACGGAUGGUUGCAAAGGGAUAACGGCCCCGCCGCAUUUUUCUGGUUGUUGCAUUCAGAUGCAAGAUGUUGCUGGUGUUGAAGAAAGAAGAAGAAGCAGAAAGAAGAAGCCAAGACAGUGUUGAAGAAACCGGACAGACCAGAGGAGCAACCUGGCACAAACAGAAAUGACGGUAAAGCAACCGAAAGCAAUGGGCAAGGUCAAAAUGCUUUGAAAGGCUUGUUGGGGUUAGCGUAUGAGAGUUCAGAUGAAGAAGACUGAGGACUGAUGAGCACUGAAUAGGGUUCUAUCUUCUUUUAGUCUUCUCAUGUUUUGUUUUUAUCGUCUCCAAGUUGUUGGUAUCGUCUCAAAUCUUACAAGAGUUUAGCUUUAGGAUUCAAUACAGCUUUUGCCAUCUAGCCCUGCACUUUUUGUAAUUGUGAAAACCAAACGGGUUUGUUGGAGUUUGAAGAAGAGAAUCUAAUGAGGAUAAUUUAUAA
Molecule: long non-coding RNA, 915 nt
Organism: Camelina sativa (false flax)
Lineage: Eukaryota; Viridiplantae; Streptophyta; Magnoliopsida; Brassicales; Brassicaceae
Source: RefSeq, a predicted model, not a curated record